This 1065-nucleotide ribosomal RNA is filed under the name human gut metagenome. RNAcentral's name for it is "bacterial SSU rRNA". It matches the Rfam family "Bacterial small subunit ribosomal RNA", at positions 419 to 1520 of the family's 1533-position model. The record is from RNAcentral.
CGAAUCGUAAAGCUCUGUCCUAUGGGAAGAUAAUGACGGUACCAUAGGAGGAAGCCCCGGCUAACUACGUGCCAGCAGCCGCGGUAAUACGUAGGGGGCGAGCGUUGUCCGGAAUUACUGGGCGUAAAGGGUUCGCAGGCGGCAUGGCAAGUCCGAUGUAAAAGGCGAAGGCUCAACCUUCGUAAGCAUCGGAAACUGUCAAGCUUGAGUGAAGGAGAGGCAAGUGGAAUUCCUAGUGUAGCGGUGGAAUGCGUAGAUAUUAGGAGGAAUACCGGUGGCGAAGGCGACUUGCUGGACUUCAACUGACGCUGAGGAACGAAAGCGUGGGUAGCAAACAGGAUUAGAUACCCUGGUAGUCCACGCCGUAAACGAUGAGUGCUAGGUGUCGGGGGUCAAACCUCGGUGCCGCCGUUAACACAAUAAGCACUCCGCCUGGGGAGUACGUGCGCAAGCAUGAAACUCAAAGGAAUUGACGGGGACCCGCACAAGCAGCGGAGCAUGUGGUUUAACCUUACCAGGACUUGACAUACCAAGGAAAGUUUUUAGAGAUAAAAACCCUAGAUUUAUCUACCUUGGAUACAGGUGGUGCAUGGUUGUCGUCAGCUCGUGUCGUGAGAUGUUGGGUUAAGUCCCGCAACGAGCGCAACCCUUACAUUUAGUUACUAACAGGUAGUGCUGAGGACUCUAGAUGGACUGCCGAUGACAAAUCGGAGGAAGGUGGGGAUGACGUCAAAUCAUCAUGCCCUUUAUGUCCUGGGCUACACACGUGCUACAAUGGUCGGUACAAAGAGAAGCGAAAUAGCGAUAUCAAGCAAACCUCAAAAAACCGAUCCCAGUUCGGAUUGAUCUCUGCAACUCGAGAUCAUGAAGCCGGAGUUGCUAGUAAUCGCAGAUCAGAAUGCUGCGGUGAAUGCGUUCCCGGGUCUUGUACACACCGCCCGUCACACCAUGGGAGUAGGCAAUACCCGAAGCCUGUGAGCUAACCAUUUGGAGGCAGCAGUCGAAGGUAGGGUCAAUGACUGGGGUGAAGUCGUAACAAGGUAGCCGUAUCGGAAGGUGCGGCUG